UCCCUGGUAGUCUUGUGGUUAAGGACACAGCAUUGACACUGCUGUGGCUCUGGUUUGAUACCUAGUCCAGGAA
RNAcentral lists this transfer RNA (73 nucleotides) under Sus scrofa (pig). It matches the Rfam family "tRNA". Rfam says of the family: Transfer RNA (tRNA) molecules are approximately 80 nucleotides in length. Their secondary structure includes four short double-helical elements and three loops (D, anti-codon, and T loops). Further hydrogen bonds mediate the characteristic L-shaped molecular structure. tRNAs have two regions of fundamental functional importance: the anti-codon, which is responsible for specific mRNA codon recognition, and the 3' end, to which the tRNAs corresponding amino acid is attached (by aminoacyl-tRNA synthetases). tRNAs cope with the degeneracy of the genetic code in two manners: having more than one tRNA (with a specific anti-codon) for a particular amino acid; and 'wobble' base-pairing, i.e. permitting non-standard base-pairing at the 3rd anti-codon position. The record is from Rfam by way of RNAcentral. Lineage: Eukaryota; Metazoa; Chordata; Mammalia; Artiodactyla; Suidae.